AGAUUGAACGCUAGCGGGAUGCUUUACACAUGCAAGUCGAACGGCAGCGCGGACUUCGGUCUGGCGGCGAGUGGCGAACGGGUGAGUAAUAUAUCGGAACGUGCCCAGUAGCGGGGGAUAACUACGCGAAAGCGUGGCUAAUACCGCAUACGCCCUACGGGGGAAGGGGGGAUCUUCGGAACCUCUCACUAUUGGAGCGGCCGAUAUCAGAUUAGCUAGUUGGUGAGGUAAAGGCUCACCAAGGCGACGAUCUGUAGCUGGUUUGAGAGGACGACCAGCCACACUGGGACUGAGACACGGCCCAGACUCCUACGGGAGGCAGGCAGUGGGGAAUUUGGAACAAGUGGGGGAAACCUGG
RNAcentral lists this ribosomal RNA (358 nucleotides) under uncultured soil bacterium. RNAcentral describes it as "bacterial SSU rRNA". It matches the Rfam family "Bacterial small subunit ribosomal RNA", at positions 26 to 386 of the family's 1533-position model. The record is from RNAcentral.